AGAUGUGUCACGCUGCAUGAGGCAAAUGGUGGUCACACCAGAUACUGACUGGUCUUCUGAUCCACACCCCUACCCUUUUUCAACAUCUGAUCUACCAUCCAGGGACAGACCAGGACCAACUAUGCUUAACUGCAGAGGCAAGCCAGUAGUGGAAUGCAGGGUGGUUUGGGAACAGCAUCUGUUAGGAAGAUGAUGCAGAGUUCCCAGUUGACUUGAAAGCACCAUAAAUCCAGAAAAUGCCAG
Long non-coding RNA from Oncorhynchus masou masou (cherry salmon), 243 nucleotides. RefSeq lists it as uncharacterized. The transcript has 4 exons. The record is from RefSeq and is a predicted model, not a curated record. Lineage: Eukaryota; Metazoa; Chordata; Actinopteri; Salmoniformes; Salmonidae.